Molecule: small nucleolar RNA, 131 nt
Organism: Arvicanthis niloticus (Nile rat)
Lineage: Eukaryota; Metazoa; Chordata; Mammalia; Rodentia; Muridae
Product: small nucleolar RNA SNORA17
Source: RefSeq, a predicted model, not a curated record
GCUGCUCCUAGAGGCAUUGAAGCUGUAGUUGUAUGCCACAUGUGAGUCAGUAGGUGGCAGAAAAGAUCAAGGCUAUGACUAUGCUCAGUGUUCUGACUUGUGAACAUCUGAAUGAUGAGUAGCCUAACAUU